AACGCACCUUGCACCCUGGGGUAUUCCCUAGGGUAUGUCUGUCUGAGUGUUAUUUGAACUCUCAAAGUCCCUUUCCUUUCGACGGGUCAGGGCGCUUUGGAUCAUGGGUGCUUGCGGGCCUGGUCCGCUCACCUCAAAUCGAAUGUGGCAGUCUUCUCUGAAGCCGCCGUCGGGUUUGACCUGGAGUGAUAGAAGUCUUUCGAGAUCUCUGGGAAACCGCCUCUUGGGGCGGUGCCUGUGGUGGUGGGAGGGAGUGUCCUUCAACAGACUCAUCUGACGUUUUUGACCUCAGAUCAGGCAGGAUUACCCGCUGAACUUAA
This 320-nucleotide unclassified non-coding RNA is filed under the name uncultured fungus. Its description in RNAcentral is "sequence contains ITS2". The record is from RNAcentral. Lineage: Eukaryota; Fungi.